This 254-nucleotide ribosomal RNA is filed under the name uncultured bacterium. RNAcentral describes it as "partial 16S ribosomal RNA". It matches the Rfam family "Bacterial small subunit ribosomal RNA", at positions 524 to 776 of the family's 1533-position model. The record is from RNAcentral.
UACGUAGGCAGCGAGCGUUGUUCGGAGUUACUGGGCGUAAAGGGUGUGUAGGCGGUUGUUUAAGUUUGGUGUGAAAUCUCCCGGCUCAACUGGGAGGGUGCGCCGAAUACUGAAUGACUUCGAGUGCGGGAGAGGAAAGUGGAAUUCCUGGUGUAGCGGUGAAGUGCGUAGAUAUCGGAAAGAACACCAACGGCGAAAGCACUCUGCUGGGCCGACACUGACACUGAGAGACGAAAGCUAGGGGAGCGAAUGGG